UCUCGAUAAAGGCAAACCUAAUGAAAGUUAGGGACGCAAAACUUUAGGGGCUAAGGGCAAAGUGGUUAUUGUCUAUGCUAGCCAGUUUCCGAA
Molecule: non-coding RNA, 93 nt
Filed under: Pontibacillus litoralis
Lineage: Bacteria; Bacillati; Bacillota; Bacilli; Caryophanales; Bacillaceae
Also listed under: 1 other name
Description: c-di-GMP sequence
Rfam family: c-di-GMP-I riboswitch aptamer
About the family: GEMM was predicted in a large-scale screen for bacterial structured RNA regulatory elements. Genes associated with GEMM are involved in a diverse array of functions, including chemotaxis regulation, signal transduction, secretion and chitin.
Source: RNAcentral